This 29-nucleotide non-coding RNA is filed under the name Rattus norvegicus (Norway rat). Lineage: Eukaryota; Metazoa; Chordata; Mammalia; Rodentia; Muridae. The record is from RNAcentral.
UCUGGAGUGAACUUGGGGUUACGUCCAGU